Molecule: unclassified non-coding RNA, 342 nt
Filed under: soil metagenome
Description: partial contains 5.8S ribosomal RNA, internal transcribed spacer 2, and large subunit ribosomal RNA
Rfam family: 5.8S ribosomal RNA (bases 1-120)
Source: RNAcentral
GAUGAAGAACGUAGCGAAAUGCGAUAAGUAAUGUGAAUUGCAGAAUCCAGUGAAUCAUCGAAUCUUUGAACGCACAUUGCGCCCGCCAGCAUUCUGGCGGGCAUGCCUGUUCGAGCGUCAUUUCAACCCUCGACCUCCCUUUGGGGAAGUCGGCGUUGGGGACCGGCAGCACACCGCCGGCCCUGAAAUGGAGUGGCGGCCCGUCCGCGGCGACCUCUGCGUAGUAAACCAACUCGCACCGGAACCCCGACGUGGCCACGCCGUAAAACACCCAACUUCUGAACGUUGACCUCGAAUCAGGUAGGACUACCCGCUGAACUUAAGCAUAUCAAUAAGCGGAGG